CCUACGGGUGGCAGCAGUGAGGAAUAUUGGUCAAUGGACGAAAGUCUGAACCAGCCAUGUCGCGUGAAGGAAGACUGCCCUAUGGGUUGUAAACUUCUUUUAUAUGGGGGUAAACUGUUCCACGUGUAUGUUUUUGUAUGUACCAUAUGAAUAAGGAUCGGCUAACUCCGUGCCAGCAGCCGCGGUAAUACGGAGGAUCCGAGCGUUAUCCGGAUUUAUUGGGUUUAAAGGGAGCGUAGGUGGAUUGAUAAGUCAGUUGUGAAAGUUUGCGGCUCAACCGUAAAAUUGCAUUUGAAACUGGCAGUCUUGAGUACAGUAGAGGUAGGCGGAAUGCGUGGUGUAGCGGUGAAAUGCUUAGAGAUCACGAAGAACUCCGAUUGCGAAGGCAGCUUAC
This 394-nucleotide ribosomal RNA is filed under the name uncultured bacterium. RNAcentral describes it as "partial 16S ribosomal RNA". It matches the Rfam family "Bacterial small subunit ribosomal RNA", at positions 338 to 729 of the family's 1533-position model. The record is from RNAcentral.